CCACUGCCCCCGCUUCCAACCGCUCCCGCCUGCAAAUGGGCCCGCGCCCUGGCGCACGUGCGCCCAGCUGGUGGCUGAUUGGCUCUCGCGGCAGGGCAGUGCGGACAGGGCCAGGGAGCGCGGAGCGCGGUCCUCGCGAGCCGUAUGCUGCCCUGGCCUGCGUGGACAUCGACCGGAAGCCCACCGCCCGCGCCCCAGGGGAGCCCACUCACCCUAUCUGCAGCGCGAGCUCGUGCGCCCACGGGGCUCCCCAGCCAGGGUCUCCGUCCCCUGUAAGGAGAGAGGGAGGUUGCAGCGGCCGGCAGGGCUACACAUGCAGCCCCAGAAGGACGGCUUCCGGGACAGUGUGACCCUUAGCUGUGUGGCCUGAAACUCCAGUAAGGCUGGGUGCCGCGUGUUCUUGUGCUGAAUCUGGCAACCCUACGAUGGCCAGAAACCAGAAACCAUGGCUGUUAGAGAACUGUCUACUGAGCAUCCUGGGUUUGAAGGCUGAGAUUUGGUAGCUGUCCUUCAGAGACUGGACGCCCUUGGAAACUGGGGGCCUCCCGCCUGCACCCUCACUCUCAGGUGUGUGGCUUGAGUGGUUGCUGAAACAGACACAGGAGUGUGUCCGAUAUUCCUGUAAAACCCGAUGCCUCCUGCCUCUCCAGUUGUGUUCCUUAAGUUACCUUGAGCUCCAAUUUGUAUUUCUUGCAAAUGGUUAGAUCUUUCCCCACUUUUGAGAUAUAUUUUCAGGCUGGUUAUAAUACUCAAAUUAUCUUGGUUGCCCAAAGGGUCAUGAGCAAGUAUAGCUGUAAGGAGCUACCCCCUGCACUGCUCCUGCCAAAGAACAAACAGGAUACUUGCAGGAACUUGUCAGAUUUCUGGGCUCCAUUAUCUGACCUUUAAGAUCAUGACCCACGCUGGGUGUGGUAAGGCACCUCUGCAAUCUCAGCCACUGGAGAGGUUGAGGCAGGAGGAUCAAAAGUUUGAGACCAGCCUCAGCAACUUAGCAAAGCCCUAAGCAACUUAGUGAGACCCUGUAUCAAAAAGUAAAAAGGGUUGGGGGUGUGACCCAGUGGUCAAGUGCCACUGGGUUCAGUCUCUGGAAAAACAACAAAAUGAGCUUCUAGCCAUGCACGACCUACGCACGCGCUCCCCGGGCAGCACCCAUACUGCCUGGGCGGUGCUCUUCCUGCUGAAUAUUUCAGCUGUCACCCCAAUGUGUCUGGGUACAUGGCUUCUCUGCUAUAUCUGUUUUUCUCCUGUGAGGAAUAAAAUAUUUGAUGGUCUACUUUCUUUUUAAAAAAAAUAUUUAUUUUUUUAGUUGUCAUUGGACACAAUACCUUUAUUCCAUUCAUUUAUUUUUAUGUGGUGCUGAGGAUCGAACCCAGGGCCCCGCGCAUGCUAGGUGAGCGCUCUACCACUGAGCCACAAUCCCAGCCACUUGAUGGUCUACUUUCAAAGCAAGAUAUUUAGUUUAAAAGAUGCACAAGGCUCAGCUUGUGAUGGAGGGUCACUGGAAGCCAGUUUGCACAACAGCUUACUAACGUGACAACUGCAGAGAGCGAAACCGCAGCGAGCUGUCCGCAUGUCCUUGCCUUGCACCAGCAGACUUCAGGAUGAGCC
This 1608-nucleotide long non-coding RNA is filed under the name Marmota monax (woodchuck). Lineage: Eukaryota; Metazoa; Chordata; Mammalia; Rodentia; Sciuridae. The record is from RNAcentral.